This 451-nucleotide ribosomal RNA is filed under the name uncultured bacterium. Its description in RNAcentral is "bacterial SSU rRNA". It matches the Rfam family "Bacterial small subunit ribosomal RNA", at positions 30 to 477 of the family's 1533-position model. The record is from RNAcentral.
AUUGAACGCUGGCGGCGUGCUUUACACAUGCAAGUCGGACGGCAGCAUAACUUUCGGUUGAUGGCGAGUGGCGAACGGGUGAGUAAAACAUCGGAACAUACCAUGAAGUUGGGGAUAACUCAUCGAAAGAUGAGCUAAUACCGAAUAAUCUCUGAGGAGGAAAGCUGGGGACUAGAAAUGGCCUGGCGCUUUUUGAGUGGCCGAUGGUCGAUUAGCUAGNGGUGAGGUAAAGGCUUACCAAGGCGAUGAUCGAUAGCUGUUCUGAGAGGAAGAUCAGCCACACUGGGACUGAGACACGGCCCAGACUCCUACGGGAGCAGCAGUGGGUAAUUUUGGACAAGUGGGGGCAACCCUGAUCCAGCAACGCCGCGUGAAUGAAGAAGGCCGUUUAGGGUUGUUAAAGUUUCUUUUGUUUUGGGAGCAAAUCUUAGAUGUGAAUAGCAUAUGAGGA